UGGGGAAUAUUGGACAAUGGGGGGAACCCUGAUCCAGCCAUGCCGCGUGUGUGAAGAAGGCCUUAUGGUUGUAAAGCACUUUAAGCGAGGAGGAGGCUACUUUAGUUAAUACCUAGAGAUAGUGGACGUUACUCGCAGAAUAAGCACCGGCUAACUCCGUGCCAGCAGCCGCGGUAAUACGGAGGGUGCAAGCGUUAAUCGGAAUUACUGGGCGUAAAGCGCACGCAGGCGGUCUGUCAAGUCGGAUGUGAAAUCCCCGGGCUCAACCUGGGAACUGCAUUCGAAACUGGCAGGCUAGAGUCUUGUAGAGGGGGGUAGAAUUCCAGGUGUAGCGGUGAAAUGCGUAGAGAUCUGGAGGAAUACCGGUGGCGAAGGCGGCCCCCUGGACAAAGACUGACGCUCAGGUGUGAAAGCGUGGGGGGCAAACAGGAUUAGAUACCCUGGUAGUCCACGCCGUAAACGAUGUCGAUUUGGAGGUUGUGCCCUUGAGGCGUGGCUUCCGGAGCUAACGCGUUAAAUCGACCGCCUGGGGAGUACGGCCGCAAGGUUA
RNAcentral lists this ribosomal RNA (550 nucleotides) under uncultured bacterium. Its description in RNAcentral is "bacterial SSU rRNA". It matches the Rfam family "Bacterial small subunit ribosomal RNA", at positions 355 to 896 of the family's 1533-position model. The record is from RNAcentral.